CCUCCGGGUGCACUCGCUCCCCCUCCUAAGGAGUUUGGCAAGGUGAACCUCCACGUUGUUACCCAGGGUUCCCUCAAUACCCUAGUUGCUAAACCAGAUCUCGUGGACAGCAUCAAAAGGCUACAGAAGUAUGACUCUGAAGCCCACAAGAUUAAGCGCUACCUCGCAGAAGGAAAGCCCUCAUUCUUCACUAUUGCUGAAGAUGGCACUUUAUACUUCAAGGGCCGCCUAGUGGUGCCAUGUGCAGAGAAAAACCUGGAUAUGACACAGGAAGUUAUGAAAGAAGCUCAUGAUACGCCUCUAUGUAUCCAUCCUGGUAGUACAAAGAUGUACCAA
RNAcentral lists this ribosomal RNA (336 nucleotides) under Triticum aestivum (bread wheat). Its description in RNAcentral is "partial small subunit ribosomal RNA". The record is from RNAcentral. Lineage: Eukaryota; Viridiplantae; Streptophyta; Magnoliopsida; Poales; Poaceae.